UCUUCAUUUCACAUGCUUUCUCACCGGUCGGACGGGCGAGAGAGUGUGUGAAAUGAAGAUA
Pristionchus pacificus is the source of this 61-nucleotide non-coding RNA. Lineage: Eukaryota; Metazoa; Nematoda; Chromadorea; Rhabditida; Neodiplogasteridae. The record is from Rfam.